This 492-nucleotide ribosomal RNA is filed under the name uncultured bacterium. RNAcentral describes it as "bacterial SSU rRNA". It matches the Rfam family "Bacterial small subunit ribosomal RNA", at positions 903 to 1397 of the family's 1533-position model. The record is from RNAcentral.
AAAUGAAUAGACGGGGGCCCGCACAAGCGGAGGAGCAUGUGGUUUAAUUCGAUGAUACGCGAGGAACCUUACCCGGGCUUGAACGUAAGACGAAUAUUUUGGAAACAGAAUAGCCUUCGGGCGUCUUGCGAGGUGCUGCAUGGUUGUCGUCAGCUCGUGCCGUGAGGUGUUAGGUUAAGUCCUGCAACGAGCGCAACCCUUACACAUAGUUGCCAGCAUGUCAUGGUGGGGACUCUAUGUGAACUGCCUACGCAAGUAGAGAGGAAGGUGGGGAUGACGUCAAAUCAGCACGGCCCUUAUGUUCGGGGCUACACACGUGCUACAAUGGCAUGUACAGAGGGCAGCUACCACGCGAGUGGAUGCUAAUCUUUAAAGCAUGUCUCAGUUCGGAUUGGAGUCUGUAACUCGACUCUAUGAAGUUGGAUUCGCUAGUAAUCGCGCAUCAGCCAUGGCGCGGUGAAUACGUUCCCGGGCCUUGUACACACCGCCCGU